CUCGGCGCCUCCCUCACUUUCCGUUCCUUACAAGGCCAGCCUCGUUCGACCCGGCGCGCGCGUGCGCUCAGGUCCCGCCCUGCGGGCGGCGCCGCUUGAUGACGUCACGGAUCGGAACUCCGCCCCCUCCGAGUUCUAGAGAUUCUGAACAGGCAGAUCUAUCUGCUAUGACUAUUUUGGAACUUCAACAUCCAGGGGAAGACUCAGAUGGUAAACUGCUUUAUUUUGGUCAAUUUCAGCUCAGCACCGACGCGACUGCCCAUCCCCAAAGCUCAGCCGCAUGGCAGCCAGCCAGGUGGCAGGCAGCCGUGGUGCUCACGUUCCUGAGCAGCUCACAAGCCCACCUGCAGGAGCCAGGGUAAGCAAGGAGGACGGUAUCCUCCGUAUAUGUGGCAUCUGCGCUCUGAUCAGCUAUGUUGAAGAGGUAAACAAGAGGAGGGGAGCCACUAUCAUCUGUUCUAAGCAUCUGCUACUCUGGCUAAACUGAUUUCCAGGACAUUUAAAGAGACGGUGUCUUUCUUUUUUCUUUUUAAAUCUCCCCCUCUUCAUUUUUCACCUUUUCUGGUUAUUGAAACCAGAUAUUGGAGAAAAGGAAAUUCAAAAACAACUGCUCUGGCUGGAGAGAUGGCUCAGCAGUUAAAGAGCAGGGAGUGCUCUUCCAGAGGAUCGGAGUUCAAUUCCUAGCCAGCACAUCCGGCAGUUUAUACUUGCCUGUAACACCAGCUCUUGGAGGAUUGGAUGCCUCUGGCUUCCGUGGGGACCUGAACUCACAUAAACACAUAAUUGAAAAUAAAAAUAAAAGUCUUUUAAAAGU
Nannospalax galili (Upper Galilee mountains blind mole rat) is the source of this 814-nucleotide long non-coding RNA. RefSeq lists it as uncharacterized. NCBI's taxonomy places the organism in Eukaryota, Metazoa, Chordata, Mammalia, Rodentia, Spalacidae. The transcript is spliced from 2 exons. The record is from RefSeq and is a predicted model, not a curated record.